UAGGGAAUCUUCCACAAUGGACGGCAAGUCUGAUGGAGCAACGCCGCGUGAGUGAAGAAGGGUUUCGGCUCGUAAAGCUCUGUUGUUAAAGAAGAACGUGGGUAAGAGUAACUGUUUACCCAGUGACGGUAUUUAACCAGAAAGCCACGGCUAACUACGUGCAAG
This 165-nucleotide ribosomal RNA is filed under the name uncultured bacterium. Its description in RNAcentral is "partial 16S rRNA". It matches the Rfam family "Bacterial small subunit ribosomal RNA", at positions 355 to 511 of the family's 1533-position model. The record is from RNAcentral.